GGUUGGGGAUUUAGCUCAGUGGUAGAGCACUUGCCUAGCAAGCACGAGGCCCUGGGUUCAAUCCUCAGUACCCUGUGCUCACACCUCAGCCA
This is a non-coding RNA of Peromyscus maniculatus bairdii (prairie deer mouse), 92 nucleotides long. The record is from the annotation of a RefSeq genome assembly. NCBI's taxonomy places the organism in Eukaryota, Metazoa, Chordata, Mammalia, Rodentia, Cricetidae.